CUAACUUAGAUGUGAACAUAGAAACAAUUAAAUUAUGACAUGAUAAUAUUAUUCAGUGACCUGUUUAGUGAAGUCAUCAGGGAUAAAAGACAACUAGAAUGAGUAACAGAAUGGGUGACUAAGAAGGGAGACAGUGAUUCAGACUAGUCCUUCAGGCUUUCCUUAAUAGACCAUUACUGUAAAAUCAACAACCAUGUUAACUCAACUUCCAUUACUUACUGUGUUGCAGGCAUUAAAGGAAGCACUAGAAAAAAUAAAUGAAACAUAAAUUCAAUUCUCAAGAAACUUACAAUUUGGUGGGUAGCCCAUUCAGUCAGAUAAAAUAAUAAAUCCCAUUUAAUGUUUUAGGAUUUUUACUAUCUGUAGAGAACAUGGCACACUAGGGACACCAAGAAGGACAUUAUCAGCUCAGUUUAAUUAAGUAUUUUAUUAUCUCUGAAGGUAGUGCCCCAGGGAAAGCUAGGUAAGAAAAUUCCUUAAAGAGAUGAGACAGCAUUUUACAUUCUCUUUCUCUGCGCUGAAUAAGAAGAAAACAACGUUUUUGGAGAGAUGUUCAUUAGGACAGUAUAUAACUGGUAUGUUUAUAGCCAAUUCUGCAGACAGAAGUAACUGGUA
Molecule: long non-coding RNA, 615 nt
Filed under: Homo sapiens (human)
Lineage: Eukaryota; Metazoa; Chordata; Mammalia; Primates; Hominidae
Description: HSALNT0376605
Source: RNAcentral